UACGUAGGGUGCGAGCGUUGUCCGGAAUUACUGGGCGUAAAGAGCUCGUAGGUGGUUUGUCGCGUUGUUCGUGAAAACUCACAACUCAAUUGUGGGCGUGCGGGCGAUACGGGCAGACUGGAGUACUGCAGGGGAGACUGGAAUUCCUGGUGUAGCGGUGGAAUGCGCAGAUAUCAGGAGGAACACCGGUGGCGAAGGCGGCAAACUGGAUAGGCACUGACACUCAACAACGAAAGCGUGGGGAGCAAACAGG
Molecule: ribosomal RNA, 253 nt
Filed under: uncultured bacterium
Lineage: Bacteria
Description: partial 16S ribosomal RNA
Rfam family: Bacterial small subunit ribosomal RNA
Source: RNAcentral